Molecule: non-coding RNA, 1526 nt
Organism: Neolamprologus brichardi
Lineage: Eukaryota; Metazoa; Chordata; Actinopteri; Cichliformes; Cichlidae
Source: RefSeq, a predicted model, not a curated record
ACCACUGUAGUGCAGUUGGACUUGACGUCUAGCAACACAACAUCAGACUUUAAACAAGCAGACCCGGUGGCUUUGCAAGUUAGCGGCUGCAUUCACAGCCGAGGUGCCAGUGCGAGAGCGCCCGAGUAGCCCCUGCUGAGCUUGGGACCGCAGCAACAGGACAAAACACAUAAGAGGAAGAAAAAUACAAAGGGGGAGUAAGCCGGCAAAGGAGGAAGGAGAAUCAGAGGAGACGGCUUGUUGGUUAAAGUUGAGUUUAAAAGGCAAGCCCGACUCUAGAGGAGAGACAUAUUGAUUCACCCUCUCAGCUCACAGAAGGUAAAGAGGCAGAGUUGCUCAUCCGUAGGUUGAAAGGUUGACAGACAGCCAAGAAUUGAGGAUAUUGGUCAUGACUGCGGGCCUGCUGCUGGGAGGAUAGAGAUCAGAUUAAUAGCAUCUACAGCGCAGCCUCCAUCCUGGUCUGACCCCACCUCUAAACAACCCGUCGAUCUCUCCCCCUCAGCCAUCACUGUAGUCCACAAAGUCCACUGUGACAAGAGAGCUGAACCCUCAUACGGGCUAGUUUACCAGGCUGCAGCGUCCUGUGAGAACAAAGAGUGACCUCACGAGCUGUCGCUGGAGCAGGGAAGAGACACUCACCCGCCGCGGGGCUUUAGAGACGGCGGCCUUUUAACCAAGCACAUGGGCUGUUGAUGAAGAAAGAUGGCAGUGAGACUGACAGGCGCCACCCCUUCCUCUCGGCCACCCUCCCUCCCCCCAGCGGCCGUGGCUCGGACCGGUUAAGGUUGGUCUGUUGGCAUCCAUCGCAGCAUCUGCAGCAGCUGGCAGAGCGUGGGAAGGAGCAGUAUGCAGGAAACUGAUGUACCGGCCACGAAUGCCUUCAAAGAGUGCAAAUUCCACUGCACCAAUGGGAAUUGCUUGCGUCUGGGCUCGCUGAUCUGCAACCAGCUGAAUAACUGUGGGGACAACAGCGAUGAGGAGAACUGCCCUGUGGUCACCCAACACCCUCCGCCGGGCAUCUUCAACUGUGAGUGUUGCAGGAUGCUGUUACACAUCUGUGUCUCUAUCUGUCUACCUCAAACCAUCAAACCACACCAACGCAUCCUCUCUCUGCUUUGCCUCACUUCUGAUUUUGCCCCACCGGGGACAAGGGUUUGGGGUUUGGAGCUUUUCUCAUGAGUGUUGCAAACUUUACCAAGUUUCUGACUUCUGCCCCUGGCACUUCACAUUCAAAGUUUUUAAAUGGUGCAAUAGUGAACUUCACACCUCCUUUUGUCAUUCAUCAAAGUACUUUUGGCAUGUUGUUGUUUUACAUGGAUCCAUCACUUCAGUGUAAUCCUAAUGAAGCCGUAUAACCUGAAAACCCAUGUUUCCUUUGCUACAUAUCUGGAGCGGUAUAUUAGUUUCUUCUGUGGACCAAACUACCUGUCCGGUGCAAUAGCAUGUGUUCGGCCAAUAGCAAACCGAGAUGGGUUAAGACUCUGUGACAAAUGACGAAAUGACCUCUGAGCUCUAUGUGUGCAAUG